UUUGGGAUAAGCAUCUUUCCAGGGAAUGCCACAUUAUGAGUUCAUAUGUGGGACAUUAUUGCUUUGAAUUGCAGGGGGAUUUUGAAGAGGCUGAUGAGAAAUUCCGGUCAAGGCCAAGGGGUGGCCGUAAGAGGAAGUACCCCACUACAGAAAUGCUCGUACCAAUUGGGCCAGGAGUCUGAGUAACUCUCCUGGUUGCUCUCACAAGAAGCUGAAGACGAGAAUUGAGCCAUGCCCUUGAAAUUGAGGUAACGAAGAUGAAUUCGCUCAGGCUGCUUUUCGUGGAUAUAAGUCUCUGAACUGUAUUCAGAGCUGCAUAUUUCAUACUGUUUAUUGCACUAAUGAAAAUAUACUAGUUUGUGCUCCAACAGGAGCUGGCCAAACAAACAUAGCUAUGAUUUCUUUUCUACAUGAGAUUGGACAGCACUUCAAAGACGGUUACUUGCAUAAAGAUGAAUUUUAGAUAGAUUAUAUUGCGCCAAUGAAGGUAUCCACCCUACAUAACUCUUUUCCUUUUUUUUUAUUUUCUGAGUUUUUGGGGGAGUAAGCAUUGAAAUAGUGGCUUGUUACUUAUUAUCAUGUAUUUUUCAGGCAUUAGCUGCAGAAGUUACAUAAACUUUUAGCCAUCGCGUAUCUCCAUUGAAUAUGACUGUGAGAGAACUUACUGGAGACAUGCAGCUUUCUAAGAACGAACUUGAAGAAACUCAGGUCACUUUUAUCAAUUAUGAGUUCUCCGUGUGCUUUUAACUGUUACCCAAAAGAGGAAAAUGAAAACCUUAACAGCUUCACUUUCUUCUUAUUCAGAUGAUAGUCAUUGAUUGAUUAUUUUUUCAUAGAAAGUGAUUAAAUGCUUUUAGAUUUUGACAUUAUGGGUCCACUGUGUUUCCUAUUAUGGUUAUAGAAUUCUUUGGUUUCUGUUUUUUCAGUUGUUUUUGUUUUUUUUUAUCUCAUUUGAAGUCUCUAGUACUCAGAAGUCUGAAUGACAUUUGCUCAGUGAUGCUAUUCAUAUGGGUUACUUGCAAUUUCUGAGAUCCUGCUUAUGUUGAAUUGUUCAUUUGAUGCUUCUCUGCAAUUUUUUUCCUGUAUUGGUCCAAAAACGAAGUCUUAAUAUGUUAAUCAACUUCUAUAUUCUGGUUAAAAAGAAUUCUUGAAUAUGUAGUCUUUUGCACAUCAGCUUGCCAUUAGUAUGAGCUCUGCAGUCAAAAACUAACUCAUUUUAUUGUGACUGAUCUUUUCACUUAACUUGACAAGUUUUGAUAAGAGCUUGUUCAGUAUGUGACAGUAAAUAUCAUGUCUUUUGUACACAAGUUUUUUCUUAAACCGUUGUUCAAACUAGUAGGAAUUGUUACAGAAAAAGUUGUCUGCUCAAGUUUUCAUUUUGAUCAAUUUCAUAGACACAUUACAGAGGUAUCAAAUGUCAAUGUUUAGCCGUAGGGUUCCCUUUGGUUGUGGUUUUUUUGGGUUUUGUUUUUGACUGGUUGAGCAUUACAGAGGUAUCUCUCUCUUCAUCCACAUCUCUCUCUCUCUCUCUCUCUCUCUCUCUCUCUCUCUCUCUCUCUCUAAGUUAUAUAUAGCCAGUUUUAUCGUUUCUUCAUAUCUGUGUGGCCAUAGUUUGGAUUUUCCUGGUAUUGUCAAGCAUAUGGCUAAUGAACCAUAUUGAAGGUCAUUGUAAGUUGUUCUACUGUUAUGAAAAAUCAAGCUUUGAAUAGAGUUGUCAUGAGCUUCUCUAAAUUGGGUUCUAUGUAGAUUAUGUUUUAUGAAGAGUUGUUAGAUUUGACAGAGUCUAAGAAGGAAACAUGACAGUGCAUACCUUACAGCCUGUAUUGAAUUGCAGAAUGAGAUAUGCUACAAGAAGGUUUUUGAAUUACUCAGGCAAUGGUAUUCGUUCAUUCUCGAAAGGACACAACAAAAACAGCUCAGAAAUUGGUAUACCCUUACAUUCCAUUCCAUCUUACUUUUGUGGGUUUCUAUUUGGUUGAAAUUAUUUUUUGAAGUGUUAAUGAUAAAUUAGUCAUGCUGACUUCAUAAAUGAGGAAGCUUCAGUUGGUUGCUGAUGCAAUUGCAUCAGCUGGACCCGUACGAUUCCUUGCAAGUUUUGAUAU
This is a long non-coding RNA of Prunus persica (peach), 2102 nucleotides long. RefSeq lists it as uncharacterized. NCBI's taxonomy places the organism in Eukaryota, Viridiplantae, Streptophyta, Magnoliopsida, Rosales, Rosaceae. The record is from RefSeq and is a predicted model, not a curated record. The transcript is spliced from 5 exons.